This 705-nucleotide ribosomal RNA is filed under the name Phenolia sp. SDJB-2010. Its description in RNAcentral is "eukaryotic LSU rRNA". It matches the Rfam family "Eukaryotic large subunit ribosomal RNA", at positions 408 to 863 of the family's 3401-position model. The record is from RNAcentral. Lineage: Eukaryota; Metazoa; Arthropoda; Insecta; Coleoptera; Nitidulidae.
UUCAGGGGUAAACCUGAGAAACCCGAAAGGUCGGCGGGGAAAUUCAUUCGCGUUUCGUUUUUGUCGGCGCCGGACAGCAGCGUGACGAGCGGCCUCCGGGCCGCACGCGCCUGUCGUUCGGCGACCGUCGACGAACGCGUGCACUUUUCCUCUUGCCGGACGUCGCGAUCCGUUGGGUGUCGGUCUAAGGCCCGCGGUGGAGCCCUGUCGGCCAUUAAUUUGCGUCGAUAGGACCCGCGGUGUUUCCCGACCGACUCGCUCGACGGUAUGCAUAUGGCGCAGAGCCGCGACACCACAAUUCGCGUUCGACCCGGGGCAAGCGCGGACGUAGUUUUUCGGUGAUCGGACCCGGUGCCGAUCCCGAUCUCGUCCGACUGUGGCCCCGGUGUUCUCGGACAGACUCUGUGAAACGCCGAUCGGCGACGCUAUAGCUUUGGGUACUUUCAGGACCCGUCUUGAAACACGGACCAAGGAGUCUAGCAUGUGCGCGAGUCAUUGGGACACGACUAAACCUAAAGGCGCAAUGAAAGUGAAGGUCAACCUUGCGUUGACCGAGGGAGGAUGAGCGGUUUGCCGUUAAAAGUGGCCGCUCCGCACUCCCGGGGCGUCUCGUUCUCAUCGCGAGAUGAGGCGCACCAAGAGCGUACACGCUGGGACCCGAAAGAUGGUGAACUAUGCCUGGUCAGGACGAAGUCAGGGGAAACC